RNAcentral lists this long non-coding RNA (589 nucleotides) under Ornithorhynchus anatinus (platypus). Its description in RNAcentral is "lncRNA (ENSOANG00000036281.1)". Lineage: Eukaryota; Metazoa; Chordata; Mammalia; Monotremata; Ornithorhynchidae. The record is from RNAcentral.
GUGCAUUAAUGGCUAUCUCCCAUUCUAGACUGUGAGUUUAUUGUGGACAGAGAAUGUGUCUGUUGUUAUGUUGUACUCUCCCAGAUGCUUAGUACAGUGCUUUGCACCCAGUAAGUGCUCAACAAAUACAACUGAAAGUCUAAUUCCCAGCAUAAAAUCUCCACAAGACCUCCGGGAAAAAUAAUGAUUUAUUCACACCUAUUCCUCCAAAUUUAAUAACAAUAAAAAAAACCAUCUGAAUCCUGAAAGGCAAGAUUCCAGGAACUCGUUCACGUUUCUGACCAGAGUUUCCAGUAAGAUGGGCCUCAGCCUACUGAAUGGAAAAUAUGUCAUCACUCUCUUCCCCCACGCUGGAGCGGACGGACGGAGUCUGGCUGAGAUGUGCUGCUUUCCAGGGCUGUCCAGACGCCAGAACGGUACUGAAACACAUAAGCCUAAGUCAGACGGCCCAAACCUCCCAGUGGAAAACAAGGAAUGAGAUUACUCCCACUCUUAACUCUCCCACAUCCAUCAGCCCUGAAUUCUCCCAGGGUCGUGAAGUGCAGACAGACAAACAGAUAAGCCUGGUGACCUCGCAUCAUUAUCAUCC